UUCCGGAACUUUCUAGAAAAAUUGGGAAAAGUCUAGAAUGUUCCAGAACUUUCUAGAAAAAUUGGGAAAUUUCUGGAAUGUUCCAGAACUUUCUAGAAAAAUUGGGAAAAGUCUGGAAUGGUCCAGAACUUUCUAGAAAAAUUGGGAAAAUUCUGGAAUGUUCCAGAACUUUCUAGAAAAAUCGGGAAAUUUCUGUAAUGUUCCAGAACUUUCUAGAAAAAUCGG
Non-coding RNA from Caenorhabditis elegans, 225 nucleotides. Lineage: Eukaryota; Metazoa; Nematoda; Chromadorea; Rhabditida; Rhabditidae. The record is from Ensembl.